This 400-nucleotide ribosomal RNA is filed under the name uncultured bacterium. Its description in RNAcentral is "bacterial SSU rRNA". It matches the Rfam family "Bacterial small subunit ribosomal RNA", at positions 355 to 746 of the family's 1533-position model. The record is from RNAcentral.
UGAGGAAUUUUGCACAAUGGGGGAAACCCUGAUGCAGCGACGCCGCGUGAGUGACGAAGGUCUUCGGAUCGUAAAGCUCUGUCAGUAGGGAAGAACUAUCAGGUGGCUAAUAUCCAUUUGGUUUGACGGUACCUACAAAGGAAGCACCGGCUAACUCCGUGCCAGCAGCCGCGGUAAUACGGAGGGUGCGAGCGUUGUUCGGAUUUACUGGGCGUAAAGGGCGCGUAGGCGGUCUUAUAAGCCAGAUGUGAAAGCCCACGGCUCAACCGUGGAAGUGCAUCUGGAACUGUGAGACUUGAGUACUGGAGGGGAGUGUGGAAUUCCCGGUGUAGAGGUGAAAUUCGUAGAUAUCGGGAGGAAUACCGGUGGCGAAGGCGACACUCUGGACAGAUACUGACGC